UAGGGAAUCUUCCGCAAUGGACGAAAGUCCGACGGAGCAACGCCGCGUGAGUGAAGAAGGAUUUCGGUUCGUAAAACUCUGUUGUUAGGGAAGAAAAAAUGUAUAGUAACUAUAUACAAAAGAGACGGUACCUAACCAGAAAGCCACGGCUAACUACGUGCCAGCAGCCGCGGUAAUACGUAGGGGGCUAGCGUUAUCCGGAUUUACUGGGCGUAAAGGGUGCGUAGGUGGUCUUUCAAGUCGGUGGUUAAAGGCUACGGCUCAACCGUAGUUAGCCUCCGAAACUGGAAGACUUGAGUGCAGGGGAGGGAAGUGGAAAUCCCAGUGGAGCGGUGAAAUGCGUAAAUAUUGGGAGGAACACCAGUAGCGAAGGCGGCUUUCUGGACUGCAACUGACACUGAGGCACGAAAGCGUGGGUAGCAAACAGG
RNAcentral lists this ribosomal RNA (428 nucleotides) under Verrucomicrobiota bacterium. RNAcentral's name for it is "Verrucomicrobia bacterium partial 16S ribosomal RNA". It matches the Rfam family "Bacterial small subunit ribosomal RNA", at positions 355 to 776 of the family's 1533-position model. The record is from RNAcentral. Lineage: Bacteria; Pseudomonadati; Verrucomicrobiota.